RNAcentral lists this ribosomal RNA (486 nucleotides) under uncultured bacterium. RNAcentral's name for it is "partial 16S ribosomal RNA". It matches the Rfam family "Bacterial small subunit ribosomal RNA", at positions 30 to 507 of the family's 1533-position model. The record is from RNAcentral.
AUUGAACGCUGGCGGCAUGCCUUACACAUGCAAGUCGAACGGCAGCACGGGUGCUUGCACCUGGUGGCGAGUGGCGAACGGGUGAGUAAUACAUCGGAACAUGUCCUGUAGUGGGGGAUAGCCCGGCGAAAGCCGGAUUAAUACCGCAUACGAUCUACGGAUGAAAGCGGGGGACCUUCGGGCCUCGCGCUAUAGGGUUGGCCGAUGGCUGAUUAGCUAGUUGGUGGGGUAAAGGCCUACCAAGGCGACGAUCAGUAGCUGGUCUGAGAGGACGACCAGCCACACUGGGACUGAGGCACGGCCCAGACUCCUACGGGAGGCAGCAGUGGGGAAUUUUGGACAAUGGGCGAAAGCCUGAUCCAGCAAUGCCGCGUGUGUGAAGAAGGCCUUCGGGUUGUAAAGCACUUUUGUCCGGAAAGAAAUCCUUGGCCCUAAUACGGUCGGGGGAUGACGGUACCGGAAGAAUAAGCACCGGCUAACUACGUG